RNAcentral lists this ribosomal RNA (409 nucleotides) under uncultured bacterium. RNAcentral's name for it is "partial 16S ribosomal RNA". It matches the Rfam family "Bacterial small subunit ribosomal RNA", at positions 355 to 757 of the family's 1533-position model. The record is from RNAcentral.
UGGGGAAUAUUGCACAAUGGGCGCAAGCCUGAUGCAGCCAUGCCGCGUGUGAAGAAGGCCUUCGGGUUGUAAAGCACUUUCAGCGAGGAGGAAGGGUAGUGUGUUAAUAGCACAUUGCAUUGACGUUACUCGCAGAAGAAGCACCGGCUAACUCCGUGCCAGCAGCCGCGGUAAUACGGAGGGUGCAAGCGUUAAUCGGAAUUACUGGGCGUAAAGCGCACGCAGGCGGUUUGUUAAGUCAGAUGUGAAAUCCCCGCGCUUAACGUGGGAACUGCAUUUGAAACUGGCAAGCUAGAGUCUUGUAGAGGGGGGUAGAAUUCCAGGUGUAGCGGUGAAAUGCGUAGAGAUCUGGAGGAAUACCGGUGGCGAAGGCGGCCCCCCUGGACAAAGACUGACGCUCAGGUGCGAA